RNAcentral lists this long non-coding RNA (345 nucleotides) under Mus spicilegus (steppe mouse). RNAcentral's name for it is "lncRNA (ENSMSIG00000011944.1)". Lineage: Eukaryota; Metazoa; Chordata; Mammalia; Rodentia; Muridae. The record is from RNAcentral.
AUGAAUGAGAGGUCUGGCACAGCUGUGGUGAGAAGCCUUCUGUUACUGGCCUGGCAUGGGAAAGGCAGAAAGAGUCGAGGAUCUGAAGGUGUGGAAACAGGAAGACUUCUGUGGUCCAGAGUUCCAAGACCUUCUGAUGAAGCGUGUGUCAGAAUUCUGUCCUGGCCUCUUACUUCUUACUGGAGAAUUGAAGCAAAGAUCCUCACACUUCUCAGCGGGCCUUUGCAGCUGGGGAUUGUGACCAGUGUACCAGCUGUCACCAGAACUGGCCAGAUGAAGGCAGAAAGGAAGAGACAGUGCUACAUUGACUUCAGACUCUGCUCAGUUGCUUUCAGUCUCAGUUAA